AUUGAACGCUGGCGGCAGGCCUAACACAUGCAAGUCGAGCGAGCGGCGGACGGGUGAGUAAUGUAUGGGGAACUGCCUGAUGGAGGGGGAUAACUACUGGAAACGGUGGCUAAUACCGCAUACCAUCAGAUGUACCCAGAUGGGAUUAGCUAGUAGGUGGGGUAAAGGCUCACCUAGGCGACGAUCCCUAGCUGGUCUGAGAGGAUGAGCAGCCACACUGGAACUGAGACACGGCCCAGACUCCUACGGGAGGCAGCAGUGGGGAAUAUUGCACAAUGGGCGCAAGCCUGAUGCAGCCAUGCCGCUUGUGUGAAGAAGGCCUUCGGGUUGUAAAGCACUUUCAGCGAGGAGGCGUUACUCGCAGAAGAAGCACCGGCUAACCCCGUGCCAGCAGCCGCGGUAAUAC
Molecule: ribosomal RNA, 406 nt
Filed under: uncultured bacterium
Lineage: Bacteria
Description: partial 16S ribosomal RNA
Rfam family: Bacterial small subunit ribosomal RNA
Source: RNAcentral